UAUAAGGAGACCUAGUAAGUUCAUUCAAGCGAAAGCAAGAAAGAAAAUACAAAAUAUAGGUCAAACAGGCAAAAAAAGAAUCAAACUCUCAAACUAAACACGGUUCGGGAAUGGGCUAUUAGCUCAGUUGGUUAGAGCGCACCCCUGAUAAGGGUGAGGUCUCUGGUUCAAAUCCAGAAUGGCCCACCUAACCCUAACUAGGUGGGGGUUUAGCUCAGUUGGUAGAGCACCUGCUUUGCAAGCAGGCUGUCAGCGGUUCGAGUCCGCUAACCUCCACUCCCGAGAAAUUCAGCACCAGCCAAAAGCAAAAAAAGCAAAAAGCUGAAUGCUGGAGAAACCUCCAGUAUCGCACCUUGAAAACUGCAUAAAAACAACAACAACCAAGUAAAGUAGGUGAAUCCACUGGCAAAGCGAAAGCAAAAACCAGUGAAAGUAGCAGACAAAAGAAAUCAAGCCAAAAACAAUCAGUACAGUGGA
Molecule: transfer RNA, 477 nt
Filed under: Anagnostidinema carotinosum P013
Lineage: Bacteria; Bacillati; Cyanobacteriota; Cyanophyceae; Coleofasciculales; Wilmottiaceae
Description: partial 16S-23S ribosomal RNA intergenic spacer
Rfam family: tRNA (bases 204-276)
Source: RNAcentral